Molecule: long non-coding RNA, 362 nt
Organism: Salmo salar (Atlantic salmon)
Lineage: Eukaryota; Metazoa; Chordata; Actinopteri; Salmoniformes; Salmonidae
Source: RefSeq, a predicted model, not a curated record
CCAUUUAGUCUCUGCCUGGAAACCGUCCUCCUAAAAGUGUCGACUGUCGUCCUUGUUGCUUCCAGUUCAGUAGCCAUACAUGUCGUGUGAGAGUGGUCUGAAGUAGAGUAGGCACUCGUCUUUCCUAAAUAGGAUUAGACUAUAGUUUACUACAUUGGCUAUAAAUAAAUAUUUAACACCCAUAUUUUUCUCCGCCUGAAAAAUCGUCCCACUCCUAAAAGGUAACCUCAAGAUGCUUGACUCACUACAGCUGCUUUUGAAGAACUUUCCAGUCGUUUGUGCUUUACAUUACGACUUUUAAAUGUCUGUAUAUUGGACAUGUAUAUUAGUGUCUAAUAAAAAAGAGCAAUGUUGGUAAAGCA